Molecule: long non-coding RNA, 2126 nt
Filed under: Nicotiana tabacum (common tobacco)
Lineage: Eukaryota; Viridiplantae; Streptophyta; Magnoliopsida; Solanales; Solanaceae
Description: long non-coding RNA (NTAB_LNC018613)
Source: RNAcentral
AGAAUGGGGCGGAGGAUCCUUCCGGUGGAUUAGCGUUGACCUUUGACUUGAUUUGGUCAAUUGCUGACUCGGAGAACUUGAAGAUCCUUUCGCGGAGAGGUGGGUCCACGCUGGCGGUGACGUCACCAUUGGUUGCUGACUUGGCAGGUUCUGGUGCGUCUGAUGGCGGAGAAAGGUUGAGCUUGACUCGGGUGUUGCGAGCCUUGGUGCGUUCAAGGAAAGGUGGGACCGAGAUGGAGGUGGACCCACUGCAGAGUUGUGCCCAGGAGGCCAUGAAGUGCCACGUGGAAGUACCGUCCAGCACAGCAUGAUUAAAUGCUAUUCCAAUGGUGAGUCCAUCCUUGAGCUUGGUGAGCUGUAGGUAGUUGGCAAAAAUAAAAUUGGGACCACAAAAUAAGUCAUCAAUGGGUCCAAACAAAUUAAUUGCUACUCUGCGUUAAUUCCAGUUGAAGCAUUAAUGUACAAAAAAUAUUUAUAUAAUGAGAUCAAUUUAAGUUUAUUUACUAAAAGAAGCAUCUACACUAAAUGGGUAAUUCUGAAAAAAGGAUAGAAGAUUAUAUUUAUACUUUAAGAGUUUGUCAGAUUACACUAAGAAUAUAUAUAGCAGUGGAUAGAACUUAGUUGUUAAUGUCGUUAGACAUUUAAUUGGCGGUCUUAUUUUCAAUUUUAAAAAAAAAGAUUUUUCUCCCAAUAGGAACCAUCAUGAUAUUGUGAAUAAAUUGUAUCUUGACAGGAUGAUUACAUGCUACAUUACUACAAUAAUAAUAAACCCGGCGUUUUAUGAGGUUUGAGCGGGGUAGAGUUUACACUAACCUAACCUUACCUUACACUAACUUGAGAAAAAUAAAUAGUGAAAAUUCAGACAAAUUAAUUAAUCAUGCAACUCUAUAUACAUCUAUGCACACAACUUAUUCAUCACAUUAAUUAAGUGAUCUUUGUCAUAAUUAAUUGAAUACCCACCCUAGCACCUUGAUCUAGCUAAAGGAUUUAACUUGUUUAUAAACAAGAUUGGAGUGUUAGCACAUCGACUGGCUUAUGCUUGGAAUUUUAAAAGGAUUGUGAUAUAGUAUGAUUUCCUUUUGUAGUAAAGGUUGUGGAUCUUCCUAAAGUUAACAUCCUAAUCAGAAAGAAACUCGAUACAACAUUUCUAGUUUCAGUGCCACCGCCAAACCUCUAGGUGCAUUAAAUGUAAGUAUAUAAAGAUAUAAAUAGCUAAAACUCAUUAACACGAACAAAAAUAUUUGUUAAGUGGUCUCAAGAAUAGCCAAAACUAAAUUAUGAGUGUGACACUAACAGUAUUUACACAAUUGAAUUACUUUAAAAGUUUAAAUUACAACGAUCAUAUAAAAAUUCUUUAUCGUGUAAAAUGUAUAUACGGAUCAAAAGAAUGUGGUGCAGUGGAUGAGACUGCAUUUUCCUUAACCAGAGGUAUCGGGUUCGAGCCCUCGGUAUGGAAAAAUCCUUGGUAGGGAGCGCUUCCCGAAUGGGGCCCUACGCGGUGCGAAUCCGGAUAUAGUCGGGCUCCAAUGCGGGUACCGGACACCGGGCGAAAAACCAAAAAAAAAAAAAUUGUAUAUACAAUGUAUAACUUAAAUCCAUUUAUGGAGCAUUAAACCAUUACCUGCACAGCCAGAAGAGGCCGGUGAAGCCCUUCAAAAUUCAAGAUUUUAUUACAAGGAAUUAAAUCCAGGAAUUUGGAGGUGCCUUCUUCAUCCGUAAGAUCUGCAACAUCAAUUCCUUCUGCGGCAGCCACUAUCACCUCCGCGCCGUCCAUGUCAUCGUCGUAUUCCACCUUGAAAACACCCUCUUCAUCUUUUCCCAGUUUCCCAGCUAGUUGAUAGAAAUCUUCCAACACUAAGGCUAGACCAUCUUUCAAUUUUUCCACCGUUUCAUCAAAGUUUUCAGCACCCUUAUAGAUCAGCAACUUUUGGUUGUAAUAGAAAGCUAAGUAAGGAAGAUCAAAUGUUACCAAUUGACACUCUUUUUUGCCUAGUGGUUUAUGUGGUUUUACGUUGGUUUUCUUCAGGAUUUUCACUUUUGUAACAACAGUUUCCUCCUUUGCUACUUCACCUGCCAUGGCUAAUUUCACAAAUGAUGAUGAAAUUGGAAAAGCAAGAGAGAUGAAC